Molecule: long non-coding RNA, 341 nt
Organism: Mastomys coucha (southern multimammate mouse)
Lineage: Eukaryota; Metazoa; Chordata; Mammalia; Rodentia; Muridae
Exons: 2
Source: RefSeq, a predicted model, not a curated record
AAGAUAAGUCAGUUCCACUUUCAAACACAACAUAUAAAGCAGAUCCCAUAUCUGGGAAGAGAGAUGCAGGAUGGUGGAGGAAUGCUAAGGGCUUCCAUGAUUGAUGGUGCAGUGUGGCUCCUCUUGAGUCCUACAGACCACUUCAAAUCACCUCACAGCAUGGGAGCUAGGAAGAAAUGUAAACGUGAAGGCAGAUGUAGUGGGAUCAUGCCCAGCACUUAAGAGUCUAAGGCUCUAGGAUUUUGUGGAGUUCGACACCAACCUCAUCCACCUAGUGAAUACCACCCAGACUACUCUAAAUAAGUUCCUGAACUAAUGAAUAAACAAAUAUUUCAAAGCAA